This 394-nucleotide ribosomal RNA is filed under the name uncultured bacterium. RNAcentral describes it as "partial 16S ribosomal RNA". It matches the Rfam family "Bacterial small subunit ribosomal RNA", at positions 523 to 918 of the family's 1533-position model. The record is from RNAcentral.
AUACGGAGGAUGCAAGCGUUAUCCGGAUUUAUUGGGUUUAAAGGGUGCGUAGGCGGAUGAUUAAGCGUGAGGUGAAAUGCCACUGCUCAACAGUGGAACUGCCUCGCGAACUGGUUGUCUUGAAUGCUCCUGCCGUGGGAGGAAUGUGUGGUGUAGCGGUGAAAUGCAUAGAGAUCACACAGAACACCGAUUGCGAAGGCAUCUCACGAAGGGGUGAUUGACGCUGAGGCACGAAAGCGUGGGGAUCAAACAGGAUUAGAUACCCUGGUAGUCCACGCAGUAAACGAUGAUAACUAACCGCUGGGUCGUAGUGAUUCAGUGGCCAAGCGAAAGCGAUAAGUUAUCCGCCUGGGGAGUACGGCCGCAAGGUUGAAACUCAAAUGAAUUGACGGGG